CAUGCAAGGGAACGUGAGCUG
RNAcentral lists this microRNA (21 nucleotides) under Cervus elaphus (red deer). RNAcentral's name for it is "PC-3p-106942". Lineage: Eukaryota; Metazoa; Chordata; Mammalia; Artiodactyla; Cervidae. The record is from RNAcentral.